Zea mays is the source of this 1498-nucleotide long non-coding RNA. RefSeq lists it as uncharacterized. The record is from RefSeq and is a predicted model, not a curated record. The transcript has 2 exons. NCBI's taxonomy places the organism in Eukaryota, Viridiplantae, Streptophyta, Magnoliopsida, Poales, Poaceae.
UGGGGGUUGUUCUUUUUUGUUUUUUUUCCUCAUCCGGUUGUUGUUUUGGGGAUUUGGAAUUUUGUGGAAAACAUUCACAACUACGGCAGUAGAAUUUAUUUGGUUUGACGCUAGCGUUGCGGUCGGGAGCUGUCGCGUGGGUUAGUUGGGCCGCAAUAGGUGUUUCGGCCCAUUAACCCUCCCAAACCCUAGCCGCCUCCCUCCUAACCCCCCCCAUGUGCAGCCGCCCCCCCACUUCUCCUCCUCCCCUUGGCCGCCGCCCCCCUGCCCAUCUCCUUCUCUCUCAAUUUUUGCAGCCACCAAACCCUAGCCGCCCCCCCCCCCCCUCAAUCCCCUCCUCCCAAGGUGUCAAUCCUUGCCGCUCGGAUCGUCGUCUCGUGGUGCGAUUCUCCAACCGUUUUGGUGGAGGGAAGAAGGGAGGAAGGAAAGGGGGAGAACCCAAGGUGGUGGACUUCCGGAUCGUUCUUAGGGAUUUUGCCCAAACUUCGGUGAAGGCAAGUAAAACUGUGAUGGUUAUUCCGUCUGUCAGAUGAGGAGUCUUAUACUUGUUUAUGUUGUGCUAUCAUGUUCAAUUUAAUAUUUUCUUUUGAGUACCAUCAUUUGAAAAUGUUCAUGUUUCAUGGAUUUCAUAUGUUGAGUUCGAGGUUUGAUUAUGUUACUCAAGUGGUUAUUAUGUGGAAUGGUUGGAAGUAAAUGCCUAGCACAUUUUUAUUUGGGAAGAACUUAUGAUGUUGUCAUGCAUAAUGCACUCCUCAUCCAUUGCAUUGAAGUUUUGUCGCGAUCUUAUGGUCCGACCGUACCGGUACAUUGAGCAUCAUAUGUUGCCCAAGAAGGGGUAUGGUGCAGCUUCAUAUCCUUAGAGAUAUGGAGGCAGAAGUCAUUAUUGCAUUUGUAGCCAUGUGCAUUCAUGGGAGAGGUGUUGAAUCUAUUAUGUGGAUGUGGAUAAUUUGGACUUGUGCAUGGUGAUUCCACUUGGCGUUGAGUUUUUAGUUUCUUGUAUACUUGCUGCAAUUUACUGUUCAAAAGAAAAGAAAGAAGUUCUGAACACGUGGUUGUGUAAGCACAGUUGAUUUACAAUGGCCUACUUGUUGUUGUUAUGUUUACUUGCUGAGAUGUGUUAUCUCACAUCUUGCAUUGUUUGAUGCAGGCACCUAAUUUCUGCUUUGGGGAAUAAAGGGGAUGUAGCAGCACGGCCACUACACUUUUAAUAAAGGAACCACCAUUUAAUAAUGUUGAUAAUCAGAGUUGGACAAGUCUAGUGAAUUGCUUUGUUCUUGGUUGAGCGUUUAUUUUGGGGUGGGCUGAGUUUCUUAUCCCAUUUGUUUUACUUCAGUUGGGUCAUAAUUAGGUUUUACCACUUUUGCAUUACAGUUUCUACUAUGUGAAUUAUAUGUCUUUAUAUCUUGUAUGAGCUUCAUGUUUCCCCUCCUUGUUAUGCUAGUUUUCAAAGGAGGUGCUGCCGGAUUUUUUUUUCUUGCUUUAUAUUCUUUCUUUAUUA